GACGCUAUCUUUGCGAAAACAAACUUGAACGGUCAACGCGCGUCAUGGCCACAAAU
This 56-nucleotide transfer RNA is filed under the name Diaphanoeca grandis. RNAcentral describes it as "partial tRNA". The record is from RNAcentral. Lineage: Eukaryota; Choanoflagellata; Acanthoecida; Stephanoecidae.